GGCCUCGUAGCUCAGUUGGUUAGAGCAUUGGCCUUUCCCUUGCUGGCGUGGGUUCGAAUCCCACGGAGGCCG
This 72-nucleotide transfer RNA is filed under the name Schistocephalus solidus. It matches the Rfam family "tRNA". From Rfam's summary of the family: Transfer RNA (tRNA) molecules are approximately 80 nucleotides in length. Their secondary structure includes four short double-helical elements and three loops (D, anti-codon, and T loops). The record is from Rfam by way of RNAcentral. Lineage: Eukaryota; Metazoa; Platyhelminthes; Cestoda; Diphyllobothriidea; Diphyllobothriidae.